Molecule: ribosomal RNA, 84 nt
Filed under: Selenomonadales bacterium
Lineage: Bacteria; Bacillati; Bacillota; Negativicutes; Selenomonadales
Source: RNAcentral
CCCAUGCCGAACACAGUAGUUAAGCCCUCAAACGCCGAAAGUACUUGAAUGGAGACGUUCCGGGAGGAUAGGUAAUCGCUGGUC